RNAcentral lists this small RNA (160 nucleotides) under Paenibacillus curdlanolyticus. RNAcentral describes it as "c-di-AMP sequence". It matches the Rfam family "c-di-AMP riboswitch aptamer (ydaO/yuaA leader)". Rfam says of the family: This family represents a conserved RNA structure found upstream of the ydaO and yuaA genes in Bacillus subtilis and related genes in other bacteria. The ydaO/yuaA element is thought to act as a genetic "off" switch for the ydaO and yuaA genes in its native state. Lineage: Bacteria; Bacillati; Bacillota; Bacilli; Caryophanales; Paenibacillaceae. The record is from RNAcentral. RNAcentral also lists the same sequence under 1 other name.
AUACAAAAUUUGCCGAAUCAUCGCCUUGGCGGUGAACGGGGGAACCAUUUUUAGGGUGAAUUGACUCCGCCUCUCGUCCUAUCGACGUGCGCCGCAGGAAUCAUAGGGAACCUUCAACCGAACCCCACAGCUAACCUCGUAGGCUCUGGAAGGAGCACCA